Molecule: ribosomal RNA, 250 nt
Filed under: uncultured bacterium
Lineage: Bacteria
Description: partial 16S ribosomal RNA
Rfam family: Bacterial small subunit ribosomal RNA
Source: RNAcentral
UACGGAGGGUGCAAGCAUUAAUCGGAGUUAUUGGGCGUAAAGGACGCGUAGGCGGUAAGAUAAGUCGGGUGUGAAAUCCCGGGGCUCAACCCCGGAAUUGCACUUGAAACUGUCUUUCUAGAGGGUAGGCGGAGAAAACGGAAUUCCACAAGUAGCGGUGAAAUGCGUAGAUAUGUGGAAGAACACCUGUGGCGAAAGCGGUUUUCUAGCUUAUUCCUGACGCUGAGGCGUGAAAGCAAGGGGAGCAAAC